RNAcentral lists this ribosomal RNA (292 nucleotides) under uncultured bacterium. RNAcentral's name for it is "partial 16S ribosomal RNA". It matches the Rfam family "Bacterial small subunit ribosomal RNA", at positions 505 to 796 of the family's 1533-position model. The record is from RNAcentral.
GUGCCAGCCGCCGCGGUAAUACGAAGGGGGCUAGCGUUGCUCGGAAUUACUGGGCGUAAAGGGCGCGUAGGCGGAUAUCUAAGUUGGGGGUGAAAUCCCGGGGCUCAACCUCGGAAUUGCCUUCAAAACUGGAUAUCUUGAGUUCGGGAGAGGUGAGUGGAACUCCGAGUGUAGAGGUGAAAUUCGUAGAUAUUCGGAAGAACACCAGUGGCGAAGGCGACUCACUGGCCCGAUACUGACGCUGAGGCGCGAAAGCGUGGGGAGCAAACAGGAUUAGAUACCCCGGUAGUCC